RNAcentral lists this unclassified non-coding RNA (328 nucleotides) under Hevea brasiliensis (rubber tree). The record is from RNAcentral. Lineage: Eukaryota; Viridiplantae; Streptophyta; Magnoliopsida; Malpighiales; Euphorbiaceae.
AUUCUUUCAGGUGGUAUGUGGAUACAGUAGUUGGUGAGAGGAAGCAAGACUUUGUGAUGAGUAUGAGAUAAGAGUCUUCUAGUCAACCGUUUUGUAUGUUAAGUCUGUUAAUUGAUAAAUUUUUGUCAUGGAUGUUGUCUAAGAGCAUGAUGUUAUACCUGUGCAUUGCCUAAUUUGUGCCAUGUCCAGAAUCAACAAAAUGACUUUGGUUUCUGCUUACAAAUUGAUUGUUAAUGUUUUGUUCUCUUACAGAAUUUAUCUUUGAUUUCACAAACACAUUUCUCUUGUUAAUGUGAUUCUUCUUACAUCUUGGAUAGAUCGACCCUUA